UUAAAAAUAAGCUAAAGAAAGCUUUUGGGUUCAUACCUCAAAAAUAAAGGAAAAACCUUUUUUUUAAA
RNAcentral lists this transfer RNA (68 nucleotides) under Scythropia crataegella. Its description in RNAcentral is "tRNA-Met". The record is from RNAcentral. Lineage: Eukaryota; Metazoa; Arthropoda; Insecta; Lepidoptera; Scythropiidae.